Cyprinus carpio (common carp) is the source of this 1943-nucleotide long non-coding RNA. Lineage: Eukaryota; Metazoa; Chordata; Actinopteri; Cypriniformes; Cyprinidae. The record is from Ensembl.
UGUGAGUCAGUCUUCAGUUCAGGUAGAAUCUGCUGUGAAGGUGCUUCUCUUGUUUAAAUCAAUAGGCUUGUCAUUCUGAGCGGCAUCCUUUUUUCUUCAGCAAGCCCAACUCUUACACACUGAGAGUGUAGAAGUGUGUGUGUGCCAGCUGUGAACAUGUACAGCAGGGACUGCUGGUCAGUGCAGCAGCUUUCAUCAGCCUAGAAAGAGAGGGAAGGGCUUUUGUCAGUGAGUUUGCCUCCCUUUUGGCUCCGUACACGCAGAAGCUUUAAGAGGGAGAAACCUCUGUGCUGGGUUCAGUUCCUUUCUUUCCCCCCUCUUUUGUUUGUGAUAGUACUUCACACAGCAUGGCAGUUGUUUAUCUGAAGUUGGUAGAAGGUUCCGGAGCUUGUGUGGUUAAGGAUACUAGGGCAGUUCCACAUAUUCAUACUUGUUCCUGCAGGACUUAAUGGUUUUCCAUUCAUCUCAAUGCCAGUAGCUUGGCCGGUGCAGGACAGCCCAGAAUUUUGUGUAUCUUUGCUUUUUCACUUUAGAUUUUUUUUUUUUUUUUUGCACCAAUAAGCUGAGCUGUAAAUGCCAUGUGACUAAUGGCUCUGAAGUGUCAUGUGUCAUGUUAGUGCUGAUUGGCUGAUGGCAGUGUGAGUAUUUGCACAGUCAUCAGCUGGGGCUUCAAAGGCAGCAGACAAGGAGAAAUAUAAGUCCAUUUCAUGGUUUAAACAGCCGUCCAAAGAAAGCCUUUCUGUCUCUCUCAUCCCCUCUUUCAAAAAUCUCAUGGAGAGGUUCAAGUCUGCUGGAUGUUGGCGAUGGUGUCUGCAUCAGUGAAGGACACCUCAAUAACAACUCCAUUGAUAUCUACAGUACACCUACUGCUGCACCAGAGAUGAAGAGACAGAGAUGUCAGGACCUUUACAUGGCAAUUUGCUUGGUAUGCACAUGCACUUGAGUCAGCUUCAUUCUCCGCUUUGAUUUGACACCAAUGCAUCAUCCAUUUAAUGAUAUUAAGUAUUUUCCAUUAGUUUUAAUUGUGUCAUGUUUUGUUUCGGCAUGUUGUUUCUUAAGCUGGACAGCCCACCUUCUUCAAAGAGCCCUGCCCUGCCAUCAUGGCGGUCACUCUGAUUGGCACCAAUGACGGCAACUCUCGAAUGGUGAGGUUACCAUGGCAACAGGGGGGUCCCUAGGGGCAAAAGCGGUACUGAAACGAAAAAUGAGUCAUCUGUUGAUUAGGUUAGGAAGUGCAUUUUAACCUUUUGCCAGUUCUUUGCCUGCUUUCAUUUGUAAGCAAAACGACAGCGGAAGCUGAAGAGCUUUAGAUUGUGUUUACCAUUGAUCAGUGAGUUGAUGGACCGUUUUUAGUUCCUUGGUCUUGACAGUCAGUUAUAUUUAACACAUUCUGUGAGCUUGUUAAUUAACACACAGUCGUGUAUCUGCCCUACUGUGCAGCCUGUAUGUGAACAGCUACAGUUAACUGUGCAUGUGUGUGUGUGUGGAGUGUGUAUUCACCUAAAGGAAGACUCACCUCUGAUUUAGCUCCUGUUUGACUCCAGUUAGAGCUCAGACAGUGUGUGAUAUUUACUGAAGCGCUUGGGUUGACCUAGGUGAUGCCGGGUCGGUGGUGUGUGUGUGCCGGUGUUAAUUGGGGGUGAAGUGGCAGUGUGAGAGGAAAAGGGAGGUGUUGAUGUGUGGACGUGUGUGGUGGUGAAAGCAAGCCACAGGUGACAUGACGCUUCUGUGACUGGAGAUGUACAUCCAGUUCAAUCCACGGUCUCGCCACAAUUACUGUUUUCUGUUCUGUUAUCUCUCUUUCUCUCAGUCUCUCUCACUGUCUUUUACACCUAUUCAGGCUUUCAAAGCGCUAAAGUGGGUGUUUGUGUUGUUCAGGUGACUGCCCAUAACAGCCAGUGUCCUGGCACUACUUCUGGAGGUCAAAUAGAUACAUAGCCAUU